Molecule: ribosomal RNA, 266 nt
Filed under: uncultured bacterium
Lineage: Bacteria
Description: partial 16S ribosomal RNA
Rfam family: Bacterial small subunit ribosomal RNA
Source: RNAcentral
GUCCACGCCGUAAACGAUGUGUGCUAGACGUCGGGCAGCUUGCUGUUCGGUGUCGCAGCUAACGCACUAAGCACACCGCCUGGGGAGUACGGCCGCAAGGUUAAAACUCAAAGGAAUUGACGGGGGCCCGCACAAGCGGUGGAGCAUGUGGUUUAAUUCGAUGCAACGCGAAGAACCUUACCAGCUCUUGACAUGUCCGUCGCGGAACCCAGAGACGGGUUCCUUCAGUUCGGCUGGACGGAACACAGGUGCUGCAUGGCUGUCGU